CCUACGGGUGGCAGCAGUGAGGAAUAUUGGUCAAUGGGCGCGAGCCUGAACCAGCCAAGUAGCGUGAAGGAUGACUGCCCUACGGGUUGUAAACUUCUUUUAUAAAGGAAUAAAGUGAGGCACGUGAGCCUUUUUGUAUGUACUUUAUGUAUAAGGAUCGGCAAACUCCGUGCCAGCGGCCGCGGUAAUACGGAGGAUCCGAGCGUUAUCCGGAUUUAUUGGGUUAAAAGGGUGCGUAGGGGGAAGGCCAAGUCAGCGGUAAAAUCGCGGGGCUAAACCUCGCUCCGCCGUUGAAACUGGCGUUCUUGAGUGGGCGAGAAGUAAGCGGAAUGCGUGGUGUAGGAGUGAAAUGCAUAGAUAUCACGCAGAACUCCGAUUGCGAAGGCAGCAUACCGGCGCCCAACUGACGCUGAAGAACGAAAGCGUGGGUAUCGAACAGGAUUAGAUACCCGGGUAGUC
Molecule: ribosomal RNA, 459 nt
Filed under: uncultured bacterium
Lineage: Bacteria
Description: partial 16S ribosomal RNA
Rfam family: Bacterial small subunit ribosomal RNA
Source: RNAcentral